GUAGGUGGCAAGCGUUGUCCGGAAUUAUUGGGCGUAAAGCGCGCGCAGGCGGUUCUUUAAGUCUGAUGUGAAAGCCCACGGCUCAACCGUGGAGGGUCAUUGGAAACUGGAGAACUUGAGUACAGAAGAGGAAAGCGGAAUUCCACGUGUAGCGGUGAAAUGCGUAGAGAUGUGGAGGAACACCAGUGGCGAAGGCGGCUUUCUGGUCUGUAACUGACGCUGAGGCGCGAAAGCGUGGGGAGCAAACAGGAUUAGAUACCCUGGUAGUCCACGCCGUAAACGAUGAGUGCUAAGUGUUAGGGGGGUUUCCGCCCCCCUUAGUGCUGAAGCUAACGCAUUAAGCACUCCGCCUGGGGAUACGGCCGCAAGGCUG
Molecule: ribosomal RNA, 373 nt
Filed under: uncultured organism
Description: partial 16S ribosomal RNA
Rfam family: Bacterial small subunit ribosomal RNA
Source: RNAcentral